GACGAACGCUGGCGGCGUGCUUAACACAUGCAAGUCGAACGGAAAGGCGCUGCUUUUGUGGGGUGCUCGAGUGGCGAACGGGUGAGUAAAACGUGAGUAACCUGUACUUGACUUUGGGAUAACUUCAGGAAACUGGGGAUCAUAUAGGAUAGGAGAUCUUGCUGCAUGGUGGGGGUUGGAAAGUUUCGGCGGUUGGGGAUGGACUCGCAGCUUAUCAGCCUGUUGGUGGGGUAGUGGCUUACCAAGGCUUUGAAGGGUAGCCGGCCUGAGCGGGGGGCCGGCCACAAUAGGACUGAGGGACGGACCAGAAGCCAACGGGACGCAGCAGGCGGGAAUAUGACACAAUAAGCGGAAGCCAGAGACGGCAACGCCGCGUUCGGAAUGACGGCCUUCUAGUUGUAAACCACUGUCGCCUGUGACAAAGCGGUAGUGACGGUAAUGGAUAAAGAAGCACCGGCUAACUACGUG
This 468-nucleotide ribosomal RNA is filed under the name uncultured bacterium. RNAcentral's name for it is "partial 16S ribosomal RNA". It matches the Rfam family "Bacterial small subunit ribosomal RNA", at positions 28 to 507 of the family's 1533-position model. The record is from RNAcentral.